GGAGAGGUGGCCGAGUGGCCGAAGGCAACGGUUUGCUAAACCGUCGUAGGGACCAAAAUCUCUACCGAGGGUUCAAAUCCCUCCCUCUCCGCCA
This 94-nucleotide transfer RNA is filed under the name Nitrospira moscoviensis. RNAcentral's name for it is "tRNA-Ser". It matches the Rfam family "tRNA". From Rfam's summary of the family: Transfer RNA (tRNA) molecules are approximately 80 nucleotides in length. Their secondary structure includes four short double-helical elements and three loops (D, anti-codon, and T loops). The record is from RNAcentral. Lineage: Bacteria; Pseudomonadati; Nitrospirota; Nitrospiria; Nitrospirales; Nitrospiraceae. RNAcentral also lists the same sequence under 2 other names.